UGACGAGUGGCGGACGGGUGAGUAAUGCUUGGGAACUUGCCUUUGCGAGGGGGAUAACAGUUGGAAACGACUGCUAAUACCGCAUAAUGUCUACGGACCCAAAACGGGGCUUAGGCUCCGGCGCAAAGAGAGGCCCAAGUGAGAUUAGCUAGUUGGUAAGGUAAAGGCUUACCAAGGCAACGAUCUCUAGGGUUCUGAGAGGAAGAUCAGCCACACUGGAACUGAGACACGGUCCAGACUCCUACGGGAGGCAGCAGUGGGGAAUAUUGCACAAUGGGGGAAACCCUGAGCAGCCAGCCGCGUGUGUGAAGAGCCUUCGGGUGUAAAGCACUUCAGUUGUGAGGAAAAGUUAGUAGUAAACCGCAGCCGGACUACCACCGAAG
This 383-nucleotide ribosomal RNA is filed under the name Alteromonas sp. yjnuCMRk. RNAcentral's name for it is "bacterial SSU rRNA". It matches the Rfam family "Bacterial small subunit ribosomal RNA", at positions 89 to 490 of the family's 1533-position model. Lineage: Bacteria; Pseudomonadati; Pseudomonadota; Gammaproteobacteria; Alteromonadales; Alteromonadaceae. The record is from RNAcentral.